Molecule: ribosomal RNA, 261 nt
Filed under: uncultured bacterium
Lineage: Bacteria
Description: partial 16S ribosomal RNA
Rfam family: Bacterial small subunit ribosomal RNA
Source: RNAcentral
GUUAUCCGGAAUCAYUGGGCGUAAAGCGUCYGUAGGUGGUUUAAUAAGUCAACUGUUAAAUCUUGAAGCUCAACUUCAAAAUGGCAGUGGAAACUAUUAGACUAGAGUAUAGUAGGGGUAAAGGGAAUUUCCAGUGGAGCGGUGAAAUGCGUAGAUAUUGGGAAGAACACCGAUGGCGAAGGCACUUUACUGGGCUAUUACUGACACUCAGAGACGAAAGCUAGGGGAGCAAAUGGGAUUAGAUACCCCAGUAGUCCUAGC